RNAcentral lists this ribosomal RNA (407 nucleotides) under uncultured bacterium. RNAcentral describes it as "partial 16S ribosomal RNA". It matches the Rfam family "Bacterial small subunit ribosomal RNA", at positions 30 to 527 of the family's 1533-position model. The record is from RNAcentral.
AUUGAACGCUGGCGGCAGGCCUAACACAUGCAAGUCGAGCGAGCGGCGGACGGGUGAGUAAUGUCUGGGAAACUGCCUGAUGGAGGGGGAUAACUACUGGAAACGGUAGCUAAUACCGCAUACCAUCAGAUGUGCCCAGAUGGGAUUAGCUAGUAGGUGGGGUAACGGUCCACCUAGGCGACGAUCCCUAGCUGGGCUGAGAUGAAGACCAGCCACACUGGAGCUUAGACGCGGUCCAGAUUCCUACGGGAGGCAGCAGUGGGGAAUAUUGAACAAUGGGCGCAAGCCUGAGGAAGCCAUGCCGCGUGUGUGAAGAAGGCCUUCGGGUUGUAAAGUACUUUCAGCGGGGAGGCGUUACCCGCAGAAGAAGCCCCGGCUAACUCCGUGCCAGCCGCCGCGGUAAUACC